CCUCUCCUCGUCGGCAGGCCGCUACCGUCGUCGAAGGUUCGUACCUCCCCCGGUUACGGUCUAUCGCUCGUCUCGCGCUCGGCAGCAGGAUCGAGCUCGUCUCGCGCCCGGCAGCAGGACCGACCUCGUCUCACGCCCGGCAGCAGGACCGACCUCGUCUCGCGCCCGACAGCAGGACGAGUCGAUGGAGGCGUUGGGGGCAGCCCAGGGGUGCGAAAGGCGGGUCCUUUCCGCCCACAUCUUUGGUGGGGGUAGCGGUGGGCCUCGAGUGAGGUGGUGUCCGGGUCUUGGAUGUCGGGGCGGCGGCCCUGGUGGUGGUUCCGCGGUGCUCAUGGGCAGAGCCCGCAGCUAGGUGCUGCCCGGUGGCCAUGGUCGUGUGGGCGGCGUGGUCGCCGGGGUGUGGCGUUCGGUGGUGGUGAUUGUUGGUCGGGGUGAAAACCUGUUCUAUCUUCGGACGGACUGGCGACGCCGAAGCUUGUUCCCUUCUUGAAGGCGUCGUCGCGGCUCUCAUUACCCAUUUUGUUGCUCCAGGGGAAACUCUAAUCCUCGGGUCGGGUGGUGGCGGCGCUUCGGUGUCGUAUCCUUCCUGAAGGUGCCGCCUUGGAGCCCACGAUCCGUCGUAUGUGGCUUCAUCUCUUCGCGGUGGCGUGUUCACGAUUGAGGACCCCGGUUGCUCUUGUAGCGCUAGGGCUGUUGUUGCGCUCAGCGCCUAUGUAUCAUGCCUUGGGUGUGUGCGUGUGUAGUAUUGGCGGGUGUUUGUACCGUGUUGUCGAGAAUCAUUGCUUUAUACAUAAAGCGGGGCGAAAGCCUUUUUCGGUAAGUACAUACCAUUGACCAUGAAUAUCCUGGAACAUGCAUGAAAGUCCCUUUUCCCACCUUGCUUCAUAACUCGCACCCGCUGUAGCAUGUCAUAUUAAUAUGACCAAAACAAGCAAUUAAAC
Molecule: long non-coding RNA, 941 nt
Filed under: Triticum aestivum (bread wheat)
Lineage: Eukaryota; Viridiplantae; Streptophyta; Magnoliopsida; Poales; Poaceae
Description: long non-coding RNA (TAES_LNC009268)
Source: RNAcentral